UGACCUGUGAAACUUUGAACUUGAGGGU
Molecule: non-coding RNA, 28 nt
Filed under: Homo sapiens (human)
Lineage: Eukaryota; Metazoa; Chordata; Mammalia; Primates; Hominidae
Source: RNAcentral